GAUUAAGUUAUUAAGGGCGCACGGUGGAUGCCUUGGCACUAGAAGCCGAUGAAGGACGUUACUAACGACGAUAUGCUUUGGGGAGCUGUAAGUAAGCUUUGAUCCAGAGAUUUCCGAAUGGGGAAACCCAGCAUGAGUUAUGUCAUGUUAUCGAUAUGUGAAUACAUAGCAUAUCAGAAGGCACACCCGGAGAACUGAAACAUCUUAGUACCCGGAGGAAGAGAAAGAAAAUUCGAUUCCCUUAGUAGCGGCGAGCGAAACGGGAAGAGCCCAAACCAACAAGCUUGCUUGUUGGGGUUGUAGGACACUCUAUACGGAGUUACAAAGGACGACAUUAGACGAAUCAUCUGGAAAGAUGAAUCAAAGAAGGUAAUAAUCCUGUAGUCGAAAAUGUUGUCUCUCUUGAGUGGAUCCUGAGUACGACGGAGCACGUGAAAUUCCGUCGGAAUCUGGGAGGACCAUCUCCUAAGGCUAAAUACUCUCUAGUGACCGAUAGUGAACCAGUACCGUGAGGGAAAGGUGAAAAGCACCCCGGAAGGGGAGUGAAAUAGAACCUGAAACCGUGUGCUUACAAGUAGUCAGAGCCCGUUAAUGGGUGAUGGCGUGCCUUUUGUAGAAUGAACCGGCGAGUUACGAUUUGAUGCAAGGUUAAGCAGUAAAUGUGGAGCCGUAGCGAAAGCGAGUCUGAAUAGGGCGUUUAGUAUUUGGUCGUAGACCCGAAACCAGGUGAUCUACCCUUGGUCAGGUUGAAGUUCAGGUAACACUGAAUGGAGGACCGAACCGACUUACGUUGAAAAGUGAGCGGAUGAACUGAGGGUAGCGGAGAAAUUCCAAUCGAACCUGGAGAUAGCUGGUUCUCUCCGAAAUAGCUUUAGGGCUAGCCUCAAGUGAUGAUUAUUGGAGGUAGAGCACUGUUUGGACGAGGGGCCCCUCUCGGGUUACCGAAUUCAGACAAACUCCGAAUGCCAAUUAAUUUAACUUGGGAGUCAGAACAUGGGUGAUAAGGUCCGUGUUCGAAAGGGAAACAGCCCAGACCACCAGCUAAGGUCCCAAAAUAUAUGUUAAGUGGAAAAGGAUGUGGCGUUGCCCAGACAACUAGGAUGUUGGCUUAGAAGCAGCUAUCAUUUAAAGAGUGCGUAAUAGCUCACUAGUCGAGUGACACUGCGCCGAAAAUGUACCGGGGCUAAACAUAUUACCGAAGCUGUGGAUUGUCCUUUGGACAAUGGUAGGAGAGCGUUCUAAGGGCGUUGAAGCAUGAUCGUAAGGACAUGUGGAGCGCUUAGAAGUGAGAAUGCCGGUGUGAGUAGCGAAAGACGGGUGAGAAUCCCGUCCACCGAUUGACUAAGGUUUCCAGAGGAAGGCUCGUCCGCUCUGGGUUAGUCGGGUCCUAAGCUGAGGCCGACAGGCGUAGGCGAUGGAUAACAGGUUGAUAUUCCUGUACCACCUAUAAUCGUUUUAAUCGAUGGGGGGACGCAGUAGGAUAGGCGAAGCGUGCGAUUGGAUUGCACGUCUAAGCAGUAAGGCUGAGUAUUAGGCAAAUCCGGUACUCGUUAAGGCUGAGCUGUGAUGGGGAGAAGACAUUG
This 1583-nucleotide ribosomal RNA is filed under the name Staphylococcus aureus. RNAcentral describes it as "partial 23S ribosomal RNA". It matches the Rfam family "Bacterial large subunit ribosomal RNA", at positions 1 to 1581 of the family's 2925-position model. The record is from RNAcentral. Lineage: Bacteria; Bacillati; Bacillota; Bacilli; Caryophanales; Staphylococcaceae.